CAAAUUUGGGUCGCUAUACAUGGUUUCCAUCUAUCUUUAUGAACCUUUGCCCCUCAAUCACUCUAGUUUUUAUCGCGUCCUCUUAGGCGCUUGAGAUUUCCAUCGAUCAGUACAAAUCAUUGUCACAUAGCACCGCUGUCUGCCGUCACGAAACCCGCCGUCACGCAACCGUGAAGGUGAAAUACUGCUGCUGUCUCGCUAUCUGUGGUUCGAAUAUGAGGUUUGCAUACCCGUCAAGGACGAGUCGAGCGAUUAUGUUUUUCUUUUGGCUAAGGGAAUAUGGGAUGAUCUGGGAUUUCAGUGAGGAGCGUUAGGAAGUUGUUGGUCAAGAUUCUUUAUUUCAGUAAUGUAAUAAAUGUAAUUAGGACAUUUUAUUUAAUGUUAUGGAUUGGUUUUUAGUU
This is a long non-coding RNA of Helianthus annuus (common sunflower), 401 nucleotides long. RefSeq lists it as uncharacterized. NCBI's taxonomy places the organism in Eukaryota, Viridiplantae, Streptophyta, Magnoliopsida, Asterales, Asteraceae. The record is from RefSeq and is a predicted model, not a curated record. The transcript is spliced from 3 exons.